UUAGCCAAUGGAAUGAAACUUCUUGGAAUUACACCUGUAUGUAGAAUGUAAUUUCUAGAUAAAUAUGUUUUUUAUGCAAAUGAGUUCUAGUUGUUAUCAGAUACCUUGCUGUUCAGAAUAGAAUUUAAAGUAUUAUUCUGUCCCAGAAUGUGUGUAGUAGUGUGUUUUUUUGGGGGGGGAGAGAGUUGUUUUUGAGACAGGGUUUCUCUGUGUAGCCCUGGCUGUCCUGAAGCUCACUCUGUAGACCAAGCUGACCCUCACAGAGAUCCACCUGCCUCUGCCUCCUGAGUGGUGAGAUUUUUUUACCUUUUUUUGAUUCAUGUACCCCAAUCUCACUCAUCUCCCCAUCUCCUCCAAAAUAAAAAACACACAACCACAACAAAAGGCAUAGAAAACAUCUCAUGGAAGCUAUAGUAUGUCACCAUGUGUCCCACAAUAUUUCCUUCAGUCCACACAGCUUCACCAGCAAAUGUUCAUUGCAAUGAGUUAUUGGUCUGGUUUGAGGCCUCUGGCUUCUGUGACACCAUCAAUAUUGGGUUCUCAUUGUGUCUUCUCCUGUGGACAGUGGGUCAAGCCAGAAAACUUGGUAGGAUUGAGUGGGUAUGAGACCCAGCAUCAAUGAUCACCUGAGAUGGUAGCUAUCUCUGUGCUCCCUACUAGAUUCCGGGCCUGGAACACAUGACCACAUUCCCCGCAUCCCAUCGGUCACGUAGCCCAGAACAGAGUUCUCCAUGCUAAUGAGGUAUCUAGAGACCCCGGGGUUUAGCCAAUAAGCUUCCCUUACUGAGCACUCCUCCCUGCAAAAGGUACUUAAUCUCUGGUCCACCCUGAGAAGGUGGUAUGUACCCAUUUUUCACGAAGAACAAUCAAUAAAUAGUUUGGAAGCAAGAACUUUCUCUUCCAUGGAGAACCACUGUUGGGGGUCAUGAAGAAGGUCUUUGCCUACAGAGCCACAACCUAAGUCUCCCACAGAAGGGCCCCUCUGUGCUCCCAGACAACCACUGCUAAGCUAAAGACAAUUGCAAAUGAACUAAGCCAGAGUUCCCCAUUCCCCCUGGCUCUGGGCUCAUCGUUGUCCUCAGCCCACGGGCUACUUCCCUCCACCCAGCAGCACCUUGAUGACCAGGAGUUUGGGAACCUCAGGUCCUGUGUUCCUGAUCACAGGCCCCGGCACUUCGGAACCUCACUUCCAACUCCGCUGUGCAAUUUUCCAGUGACAACUGGAUUCCCAGGAGUCAGGGAAGCCCAGCUUCAGCCUCCCACAUCCUGGGCUACGUUUUCCCACCCCCUUAGUGGUUUCUUGGUGCUUCACUCGAGCCCAACACUGGACAACGGUAAACACAGACUAGCGCUCUAUGUUCAGCCUGCCCAACAGAGGGACAAAACAUGGACCCACAUUCUCCUAAUUAUCCUAUUGUUGCCCUGUGUCAUAGAGAUCCUGCAGCUUUGGAUCUGCAAGGUCUGCCCUUUCAUAGGUCCCAACUGUUUGCAGAUGAUACAGAUUUUGGAGUGGGCCAUCUCAGCUCUGGAUUUGGGCCUGGGUGGCAGCACAGCUGGUCAGUGUGCUGGCUGUCCCUUAUCCACACCACCAGAACAGGCUCUCCAGUACUGCUCUGGCUAGACCAUCCCAUGAUCUAUCAUCAGCAGCUCUCUUACUUUAAUGCCAGCUCACCUAUCUCCAUGCCUCCAGAAGCCAGCUCUCCCAAGUGCUGCCGCCUGUAAGGAGCUGGGCUAGCUCUCCUGCUCUCACACCCUGGAGGCUGACUCACCCUUACCUCUGCCAUCAGAACCAUUUCCACUGUGUUGCCCAGGUGAGAUGCAGGGACUGCUCUCCAUAAUGCUAUAGCCAGUGAGGGGGCAGGGCCAGCUCUAUCAACCAUCGCAGGUGGCAAAGGGAGAGGAGGGAAGGGUGGCAUCACACCCAAUGGGGUCAGUGCUCGAAUCCCUCUUGCCCUCAGGGCAGGCCCAUCCUAACUCUUGCACCAGGGCAGGCACAGCUGUGCUUCCCAUGUGCUAUAGCCAGUGAGGGAGCAGGGCCAGCUCUCCCAGCUGCUGCAAGUGGCAAGGGAGCAGGCAUCACCCACGCCAGCUCACAGCAGACAAGUGCUGGGAGAGCUCCUCCUACAUUCUCACCUUGGGGCUGACUCACCCGCCAGUGUCAGCUCUGCUGCCCUGUACAGGCGAGCUGGCCUGCUCUCUCAGGUGCUACCUGGAACCAUGUUGUGGUUUGAAUAUGCCUGGCCCGUGGGAAGUAGCCGAGGGAGGUGUGGUCUUGUUGGAGGGUCACUGUGUAGGUAGGCUUUGAAGGCCCCUAGAGCUCAGGCUCCGCCAGUGUGGAAGAGAGCAAUCACUGGUAGGCAUUGUAUUCAGGUUUUUUGUGAAGUGUCGGCCAGUAUUAAGCCAUAAUUUGAGAUGGAGUGUUGGCUCCCAUGCAUCUGCAUAUAAACAAGGCAGUUUGGCUGAUUUGAGUCAACAGUGUGAGCUUGAUUAAGCAUAAUGUGUUAAGGUUGAUAGCCAGCGUUUCUACUUGGCCUGCUACAUUUAAUCUAAAUGUCAGUAAUACAGUAAUUUUUUUUUUCAAGACAGGGUUUCUCUGUGUAGCCCUGGCUGUCCUGGAACUCACUCUGUAGACCAGGCUGGCCUCGAACUCAGAGAUCCGCCUGCCUCUGCCUCCCGAGUGCUGGGAUUAAAGGCGUGUAGUAAUACAGUUCUAAUGAAGAGGAGUUAGCAUGAGCCAAACAAAGCCUCUGCAGUUGGAGUAGACACUGUUUUAAACUGACAGGUGUGGUCUACCUCUUACUGUAGAAAGCAUUUAUCCACAUCUGUAAGUGACUUGCUAAUUUUCUGCUUACAUAGAGCACCAUUAAGCUUCCGAUAGAAACCAACCGUGGAAUGGACAUAGACAUUUAGGACUUGCUUUAUGUCCACUCUUCCUCAGUGUUUCUCUGGAGAAACUUUCUCCUAGAUCAAUGAGUAUUUAAGCUUGGAGUAAAAUCAUACAGGGACUAAGCCUUGAAAAUAUAGCUCUCUGAAAAGAUUUGUUAUCCUGUAACUCUUACC
This 3060-nucleotide long non-coding RNA is filed under the name Mus musculus (house mouse). RNAcentral's name for it is "long non-coding RNA chr4:34660019-34663079". Lineage: Eukaryota; Metazoa; Chordata; Mammalia; Rodentia; Muridae. The record is from RNAcentral.